RNAcentral lists this ribosomal RNA (544 nucleotides) under uncultured soil bacterium. RNAcentral describes it as "bacterial SSU rRNA". It matches the Rfam family "Bacterial small subunit ribosomal RNA", at positions 942 to 1482 of the family's 1533-position model. The record is from RNAcentral.
UGGUUCAAUUCGACGCAACGCGAAGAACCUUACCUGGGCUAGACAACGGUGGACCGCCCUAGAGAUAGGGUUUUCCCUUCGGGGACUGCCGGUUCAGGUGCUGCAUGGCUGUCGUCAGCUCGUGCCGUGAGGUGUUGGGUUAAGUCCCGCAACGAGCGCAACCCUCGCUCUUAGUUGCCACCAUUAAGUUGGGCACUCUAAGGGGACUGCCGGCGUUAAGCCGGAGGAAGGCGGGGACGACGUCAAGUCAUCAUGGCCCUUAUGUCCAGGGCCACACACGUGCUACAAUGGGCGGUACAAAGGGCUGCAAACCCGCGAGGGGGAGCCAAUCCCAAAAAACCGCUCUCAGUUCGGAUUGGAGUCUGCAACUCGACUCCAUGAAGGCGGAAUCGCUAGUAAUCGCGGAUCAGCACGCCGCGGUGAAUACGUUCCCGGGCCUUGUACACACCGCCCGUCACACCAUGGGAGCCAGCUGUACCGGAAGUCGGUGCGCUAACCCGCAAGGGAAGCAGCCGCCUAUGGUAUGACAUGGUGAACUGGGGUG